Molecule: ribosomal RNA, 271 nt
Filed under: Ehrlichia canis
Lineage: Bacteria; Pseudomonadati; Pseudomonadota; Alphaproteobacteria; Rickettsiales; Anaplasmataceae
Description: partial 16S ribosomal RNA
Rfam family: Bacterial small subunit ribosomal RNA
Source: RNAcentral
AUAGGAAAUUGUUAGUGGCAGACGGGUGAGUAAUGCGUAGGAAUCUACCUAGUAGUACGGAAUAGCCAUUAGAAAUGGUGGGUAAUACUGUAUAAUCCCCGAGGGGGAAAGAUUUAUCGCUAUUAGAUGAGCCUACGUUAGAUUAGCUAGUUGGUGAGGUAAUGGCUUACCAAGGCUAUGAUCUAUAGCUGGUCUGAGAGGACGAUCAGCCACACUGGAACUGAGAUACGGUCCAGACUCCUACGGGAGGCAGCAGUGGGGAAUAUUGGAC